CAGUGUUACAGCUCUUUUAGAAUUUGUCUAGCAGGUUUUCCGGCCCUCGCCGGAAAACCCCC
Small nuclear RNA from Vulpes vulpes (red fox), 62 nucleotides. Its record names the gene U7. It matches the Rfam family "U7 small nuclear RNA". Rfam says of the family: Animal histone pre-mRNAs are spliced by a different mechanism than nuclear pre-mRNAs and self-splicing introns. This processing involves the U7 snRNP, which contains only one RNA species: U7. The record is from Ensembl. NCBI's taxonomy places the organism in Eukaryota, Metazoa, Chordata, Mammalia, Carnivora, Canidae.